CAUUGGUUCACGUACAAACGUGAUGAAAAGGGAACCGGGUGAGAAUCCUGGACAGUCCCGCUGCUGUGUGCAGUCCUUCAUGGGGCGAACAAUCGUGUCACUGACAUUUUUCGGGAAGACCGUUCGCUGCCUGACUGCGAGCCAGAAGACCUGCCAUUGCUAUAG
This 165-nucleotide non-coding RNA is filed under the name uncultured Prevotella sp. The record is from RNAcentral. Lineage: Bacteria; Pseudomonadati; Bacteroidota; Bacteroidia; Bacteroidales; Prevotellaceae.